AACCAUCCCGGUUGUACCCCCCCAUAAUGCACGUGGUUUGGUCCAUUCUCCAUGAGGAGAAAAGAAAUACCGCUGAUCUGACCGUUCACGAGAGAUAACCACUAAGAAAGGAAACAGAGACAGAUAAAGCAAAAUUCUGGAGGAAAAAAAAUGACUCACUACGGUUUUUCCCAGAAAAAAAACGAGGAGAACGAUUUGAGUGAUGCGACUACUACUACUGAUGUAGACAAAGAUCCCAAUGUGUGUCCCCUACAUGAAGCUGAAACAGCGGACCUUGGAGUGCCUAGAGAGCCCAGGUUGGCAGAAUUCCAGCAGAAAGCUGUCAGACUGAUGCAGAGGAGAGCAGGGAGGGGGAAGAGGAUUUAAAGAGUAGCAGCAGUACCAGUGAAGGACUGACAGAAGAGAUUGAAGAAGCAUGUAAUAAGGGAAAUGAAGAGUAUGGACAGAUUCUAAGUGAGGAAGAUGAGGUUUUAGAUGAUCCAGCACUGUGGCCAGAGAAAGUACAAGACCACGAAAGAGAAGCUAUUGUUCACAGACUAGCCAACAGGUGUGUGAGGAGACAGAACUGUAUAAAAUCAUGCCCCUAGACUCAAAAGGCGAACCAUUCCCCAAUUAUUUACGUAUUGUAAGUUAGAAAACUGAAGAGAGAUUGCAGAGAGACUGUUUUAUUUAUAGUAAGAGUGUAAAGGCAUUAUAUUGCAUUCUGUGUGUUUUUUUUCCUCAAGGGCAAAGUAAACCAUCACCCAGUUCUCUGGGAUGGCUAUAAGAUAAGGAUGGCUAUAAAAUAAGGAUGGCUAUAAGAUAACAUCAGUGAAAUGGCAGAGAAUGUAUGACAAACUACCAGAGAAUGAGGAUGGUGUCUUACAAGAACUGUUACUGGAAAUGGAAAAAUCUGCAGCAAACCGUAACAACAGCUGCAGGUAUAGACAGUCAGCUGCAGGUAUAGACAGUCAGCUGCAGGUAUAGACAGUCAGCUGCAGAAACAAACUCAGUCAGAAAUGUAUAAAAACAGAGACUUCUAGAAAGGAUUGUGGAUGUGACACUGUACUUAGCAUCUAGGAAUCUGCCAUUCUGGGGGAAAUCACUCAGUCUUGAUGAUGUACAUAAUGGACAUUACCUAGGCUUACUGGAACUGUUGUCAAAUUAUGACCCGCUAUUACGUGAGCACUUACAGAAAGUCAGGGACAAAAAGAAAGGAGCACGACUGACUCAUUACCUCAGCCCUGAGAGCCAAAACGACUUCAUAGGAAUAUGUGGUUUUGAAAACAUUUUGUUACGUUACAGCCUUCUUCUAAAAAUGCUGAAAUUGUUUUUUUUACCCUCAAUCAAUCUACACACAAUACCCCAUAAUGACAAAGCAAAAAUCAGGUUAUUAGAAAUUGGAUGGGGGAUGUCACUGCACAGCUAUUUUCAGGUGUACAGCUAACCCCAGGAAUAUAGGGUUUUGAAAACAAUACUUCAUGAAAGAGAAGACGCAAUCAAUUACUCAGUUAUAUGUGAUGCAACUCCAGACAUUUCCCAUACUGAGCUAAAUGUAUUAUUGGUGAGAUAUGUACAGGAAGAGAGAGUUCAGGGAACAGGUGAAUUGCAAAUAAUUGACGUUUUCUUGAAUUGAAAGACUUUGCUAGAAAGUCUUAUGCAAAAGGAAGAAGAGCGUUAGCCAUGUUUAUAAGAAUUAGUAAUAAAUGAUUUAAUCUGAAA
Oncorhynchus tshawytscha (Chinook salmon) is the source of this 1701-nucleotide long non-coding RNA. RefSeq lists it as uncharacterized. NCBI's taxonomy places the organism in Eukaryota, Metazoa, Chordata, Actinopteri, Salmoniformes, Salmonidae. The transcript has 3 exons. The record is from RefSeq and is a predicted model, not a curated record.